RNAcentral lists this ribosomal RNA (496 nucleotides) under uncultured bacterium. RNAcentral describes it as "partial 16S ribosomal RNA". It matches the Rfam family "Bacterial small subunit ribosomal RNA", at positions 28 to 507 of the family's 1533-position model. The record is from RNAcentral.
GAUGAACGCUGGCGGCGUGCCUAAUACAUGCAAGUCGAGCGAACGGACGAGAAGCUUGCUUUUCUGAUGUUAGCGGCGGACGGGUGAGUAACACGUGGAUAACCUACCUAUAAGACUGGGAUAACUUCGGGAAACCGGAGCUAAUACCGGAUAAUAUUUUGAACCGCAUGGUUCAAAAGUGAAAGACGGUCUUGCUGUCACUUAUAGAUGGAUCCGCGCUGCAUUAGCUAGUUGGUAAGGUAACGGCUUACCAAGGCAACGAUGCAUAGCCGACCUGAGAGGGUGAUCGGCCACACUGGAACUGAGACACGGUCCAGACUCUACGGGAGGCAGCAGUAGGGAAUCUUCCGCAAUGGGCGAAAGCCUGACGGAGCAACGCCGCGUGAGUGAUGAAGGUCUUCGGAUCGUAAAACUCUGUUAUUAGGGAAGAACAUAUGCGUAAGUAACUGUGCACAUCUUGACGGUACCUAAUCAGAAAGCCACGGCUAACUACGUG